AAAUAAUUUUUGUAGCGUAAAAGCUAAAUAAAUUCAUACAUACUGUAAUAAAGAUAACCAAAGUAUAAAAUUUAAUUUAUAGUGACACGUGGGCCCAUGAACGACCAAAAGUAUCAAAAGCGAUAAACCUACAGUUUUUGAGGAUGCAAGUGCAACUGUAGCCCUCAAUAAAGUGAGCUAUCUACCUACUAUCCUGAGCCUGAAAUGGGUGGAAAGGAGGGUGGUGAGAUUAUAUAAUCCCAGUGAGUAAACAAAUAUCAUCUAAAAUAUCUAAAGCCUAGUAAAUGGAGACAGAUUAAAAUAGAUUAUCAUACUGUAAUUCAUCACCUUUCGACUCAUUUCAAUCAAAUAAAAUUAAUUCAUAUAAAUCGAGUAAUCAACAUGGCUUAUGAAUUUCUUAAAAGCUUCGGCUCGUGCCAAAAUCAUUCUCAUACUCAGUUGUCAAGGAUACUUUGGCCUUGGGCUAUCCCAAUAGAGUCCGCCAAGGCUGUUAAAAAGUCAUGUACGCAUAAAUCAUAUUUUUAUUUUGAAAACAUAGUCGUUCCUUGGCGUUGACUGAGUUCACCCUCACGUGGUGGUUUGGCGUGAAGUGAACUCUAAAGUUGUACCUCGGAAGUUACCCUACACGCCUCUACGACCGAGAUAAGAAUAUAACGGGGUAACCGUACCCUUCUAAUAGGCUGGUCAACAAAACCCGCCCACUGCAGCAAACUAAACCCACCAAUUCAAUAAAAUCUCAACCGCAUGACAUGGCAAUUAUAUCACAAUCCAGCAUCUCAAGGCUAAAUACACAAUUCAUAUAUUUCAACACAAAUACCAAUUCAGCCAUUCAUGCAAAUAUUGUCAUAAGCCAUUCGAUUCAAACCAUGAAUUUACAACACAUGAAAAUAGUCUCCAGUUACUCUAUUUUCAAACCAUCAUUCAAUUUCAAGACAAUGUUAUAAAAUCAUUUCAUUAAAUCACAUUUUAAUUACAAAACACAAAGAUUUACCAUUUAACUCAUUUUUCAUAAAAUCACAAAAUCGGAUAAAAACCACUUUAGAUAAUUAAGAUGAUAGUAAGGUUCCUCACUAUUUUGGGAGUCGAAUUCCGAGUACUCCAAUUCUUGAUCCUCGGGUGCUAUCUAUUUACUUUUGCCAGAAAGCUCACCACCUAGACAUAAUGCACAAUAAGCCAUUUACUACAUUUGUGCUAAAUUGUUAUAAAACCAAUUCAGACUCUAUACUAAUGCAUGAAAUGGGAUGUGCAAUACUCGAGUAACUAUCUAAAUACGGUGUUCAAUAUAAAUUCAAUUAUGCACCUAAAUAAAACGGUAUUGGCCUAAUUCGAUCUAUCACUCGAUUAAUUUGCCAAUAUGUCCAAUUCAACUCCAAUUAACUCCAUUUUUCUUCCAAUUCUCCAAACCAUCAAACACAAAUUAAAUAACUUGAAAUAUGGCAAAAUCAUCCUCACAUUUGCUCUUGGAAAAUUUGGCCAUGGUGGGUGCAUUAAUACUAUGAUUUUUCCUACUUGAUUUUCUCACCGUAAUUCAUAAUUUCCUAACCAAUUCACUUGAAAUAAAAUCAAAUCCACCAUCCAUACUCUACAUGGAAGAUUCGGCCGAUGAUGGGUUACGGAAGAACAUGAAUUUUUCUUGUUUGUUUUUCAUGCUACACAUCAUUAACUAACUAAAAACACUAAAAUACAUUGAAAUCUAACCAAAUCCAAGUUCAAAACUCCUCCCCCCAUGUCCGGCCAGCAAGGGUAUCCUCAUGCAAACUUGAUUCCCAACCAUGGAAAAUGAAAAAGAAUGGAUAGGAAAGGUAAAUCACAAGCUAGAAUUGUAAAAUCUUACCUUUUGUCACUUGAUUCUUUGAAAUUUUGUGAAUUUCUCUUGAAUUUCUUAGCUAGGUUUUUGUUCUUCUUCUUUUCUUCCCUUUUCUUCCUUUGGCCA
This 1933-nucleotide long non-coding RNA is filed under the name Theobroma cacao (cacao). RNAcentral's name for it is "long non-coding RNA (TCAC_LNC002982)". The record is from RNAcentral. Lineage: Eukaryota; Viridiplantae; Streptophyta; Magnoliopsida; Malvales; Malvaceae.